This 77-nucleotide transfer RNA is filed under the name Alphaproteobacteria bacterium. Its description in RNAcentral is "tRNA-Arg". It matches the Rfam family "tRNA". From Rfam's summary of the family: Transfer RNA (tRNA) molecules are approximately 80 nucleotides in length. Their secondary structure includes four short double-helical elements and three loops (D, anti-codon, and T loops). The record is from RNAcentral. Lineage: Bacteria; Pseudomonadati; Pseudomonadota; Alphaproteobacteria.
GAGGCCGGAGCUCAGCUGGAUAGAGCGUCAGUUUCCUAAACUGUAGGUCGGAGGUUCAAAUCCUCUCGGUCUCACCA